AGCCGGGGUCGCCCGAUCGGACCCCGGACGUGAAGUCGACGAUGGUCGGUGGGCUGGUUUUGGUAAGCAGAACGGGCGAUUCGGGAUGAACCGGAAGCGGGGAGAAAGGGCCCGAGAUUGCGUCGACGCGGAUCCCAAAAAGGGCGUCGAUCCGUCGCGACAGCGGGACGGUGGUCAUGGAAGUCGAAAUCCGCUAAGAAGCGUGUAAAAACGUACCCGCCCAACGGAUCGGCCCCGAAAAUUGAUGGCGCUCGAACGCAACCCUCGAACCCCGCCGACGGAGGCUAGGGGAGGCCCCGUCGAGUAGGCGGACGCGCGGGUCGCUUCGACGCUCUCGCGCGAGCGGGGGCGGAGCGGCCCGUGGUGCAGAUCUUGGUGGUAGUAGCGAUCACCCAGGCGAGAACCCUGAGGGCCGAAGUGGAGAAGGGUUUCUCGAGAACGGCACUCGCUCGAGAGUUAGUCGAUCCUAAGCUGCCGGCGGCAGCCACGAAACGGUCGAUCGGGCGCGAGCCCGGCAGCCACGACCGGGCAGCGAAAGGGAAUUGGGAACCUCCUUCCCAAACCCGGAACCGGAACGAGGGCGGC
RNAcentral lists this ribosomal RNA (585 nucleotides) under uncultured eukaryote. Its description in RNAcentral is "eukaryotic LSU rRNA". It matches the Rfam family "Eukaryotic large subunit ribosomal RNA", at positions 1079 to 1645 of the family's 3401-position model. The record is from RNAcentral.